Molecule: ribosomal RNA, 528 nt
Filed under: Flavobacterium sp.
Lineage: Bacteria; Pseudomonadati; Bacteroidota; Flavobacteriia; Flavobacteriales; Flavobacteriaceae
Description: bacterial SSU rRNA
Rfam family: Bacterial small subunit ribosomal RNA
Source: RNAcentral
AGACCGGCGCACGGGUGCGUAACGCGUAUGCAAUCUACCUUUUACAGAGGGAUAGCCCAGAGAAAUUUGGAUUAAUACCUCAUAGUAUAGCAGUUUCGCAUGAAACCACUAUUAAAGUCACAACGGUAAAAGAUGAGCAUGCGUCCCAUUAGCUAGUUGGUAAGGUAACGGCUUACCAAGGCUACGAUGGGUAGGGGUCCUGAGAGGGAGAUCCCCCACACUGGUACUGAGACACGGACCAGACUCCUACGGGAGGCAGCAGUGAGGAAUAUUGGACAAUGGGCGCAAGCCUGAUCCAGCCAUGCCGCGUGCAGGAUGACGGUCCUAUGGAUUGUAAACUGCUUUUAUACAGGAAGAAACCCUGGUUCGUGAACCAGCUUGACGGUACUGUAAGAAUAAGGAUCGGCUAACUCCGUGCCAGCAGCCGCGGUAAUACGGAGGAUCCAAGCGUUAUCCGGAAUCAUUGGGUUUAAAGGGUCCGUAGGCGGUUUAAUAAGUCAGUGGUGAAAGCCCAUCGCUCAACGGUGG